CCUGUAAAAAUUUGAAUUUCAUUGAUUGCCGGCACCCUCCAUACCACCAACACAGUCGUUUUCGGGCGAUGUAAUCAUGCUGCUGCAGUAACACCUUCUUCUUCCACCUCUUUUUCUUUCGCUUCUCCUUCUUCCGUUUCUCCUUUUCCAGAUCAGAACCCAUCUGGAGAACAAGAGACCUGCAAGUUCCCAUCUUGACCUCGCGCGGAUUAACGCAGAACUUGAGCAGAGCUUCCAGGUGACAGCUCUUUUUGGCUGGUUGGCUGAGACAUACAAUGGAGAGACCUCUAGGGUGCUCAUUCUCGGCCACUACUGCUUGAGAAAGAAAAAGAAGGGGAGCAAGUGAACCAAUUUAGUUCAAAAUGUUGGCUGGACUAGUUCGAAUCGAAUAAAUUAGCAAACUUAGUUCGGUCUGUGUUGUUUGGCUUGGUUCAAUAACUGAACCGGUUUUAGAGUUUAUUUUUUUAUUUGAACCCCAAUUCUUUUCUUCUUCUUCAUCACGCGGAAGAGGGGUCGGCUGUUCAUUAGGUGCGGUCCCUUAAGCCUUGAGUCUCGCAUCGUCCAAAAAUGCCUCCUCCAAGUGUGCCAAGCUUUCUUCGGUCCAGUCGUCAGAUUUACCACGGAGCAAAUCCAGGAUCAUGCUGAACUGUCGCCGCGAUUCUUCCAUGAAAGCAAUGAGUUCCAGGUCGAUCUCCUUCACAGUGAUCGCUUCCGGAUUCUCCGGUUCCGAUACCACCUUGUCAGAAGUCUUUGAAUUACUGUCUAAUCUUGAAAAAGAAAGAGAGAGAGAAGAGAGAAAUAGAAGAGAAACAGAGAGGAAAAUCUGAAGAACAAUUUUAUUCUAUUCUUUUCCUUAAUUGAUUAUAAUAUAAGGAUUGAGCCUUUUAUAAGUUAUAAGCAAUUAAAGCAAUUACUAUCGUAG
RNAcentral lists this long non-coding RNA (922 nucleotides) under Carica papaya (papaya). RNAcentral's name for it is "long non-coding RNA (CPAP_LNC011715)". The record is from RNAcentral. Lineage: Eukaryota; Viridiplantae; Streptophyta; Magnoliopsida; Brassicales; Caricaceae.